CCUGGUAGCGGGGGAUAACUAUUGGAAACGAUAGCUAAUACCGCAUAACAGUAGAUAUCGCAUGAUAUGUGCUUGAAAGGUGCAAUUGCAUCACUACCAGAUGGACCUGCGUUGUAUAGCUAGUUGGUGAGGUAACGGCUCACCAAGGCAACGAUACAUAGCCGACCUGAGAGGGUGAUCGGCCACACUGGGACUGAGACACGGCCCAG
This 209-nucleotide ribosomal RNA is filed under the name uncultured bacterium. RNAcentral's name for it is "partial 16S ribosomal RNA". It matches the Rfam family "Bacterial small subunit ribosomal RNA", at positions 129 to 334 of the family's 1533-position model. The record is from RNAcentral.